RNAcentral lists this ribosomal RNA (451 nucleotides) under uncultured Fibrobacter sp. RNAcentral describes it as "partial 16S ribosomal RNA". It matches the Rfam family "Bacterial small subunit ribosomal RNA", at positions 341 to 792 of the family's 1533-position model. The record is from RNAcentral. Lineage: Bacteria; Pseudomonadati; Fibrobacterota; Fibrobacteria; Fibrobacterales; Fibrobacteraceae.
ACGGGAGGCAGCAGUAGGGAAUAUUGCACAAUGGGGGAAACCCUGAUGCAGCAACGCCACGUGUGGGAAGAAGCAUUUCGGUGUGUAAACCACUGUCGUGAAGGAAUAAGGCUUAUUUUCGGAUAAGUUGAAUGUACUUUGAAAGGAAGCACCGGCAAACUUCGUGCCAGCAGCCGCGGUAAUACGAGGGGUGCAAGCGUUGUUCGGAAUCACUGGGCGUAAAGGGAGCGUAGGCGGAGAAGCAAGCGGUCUGUACAAGACCGGGGCCCAACCCCGGACCUGCAGACCGGACUGCUCCUCUUGGAUAGUUCAGGGGCAGGCGGAAUUCCUGGUGUAGCGGUGGAAUGCGUAGAGAUCAGGAAGAACACCGAUGGCGAAGGCAGCCUGCUGGGGACUCAUCGACGCUGAGGCUCGAAAGUGCGGGUAGCAAACAGGAUUAGAUACCCUGGUA